Molecule: long non-coding RNA, 281 nt
Organism: Erpetoichthys calabaricus (reedfish)
Lineage: Eukaryota; Metazoa; Chordata; Cladistia; Polypteriformes; Polypteridae
Exons: 3
Source: RefSeq, a predicted model, not a curated record
ACUGCUGCCUGGCAGUAAGGACACCUGGGUUCACUUCCCAGGUCCUCCCUGUGUGAAGUUUGCAUGUUCUCCCCGUGUCUGCGUGGGUUUCCUCCCACAGUCCAAAGACAUGCAGGUUAGGUGCAUUGGCGAUCCUAAAUUGUCCCCAGUGUGUGUGUGUUGUGUGCGCCCUACGGUGGGCUGGCACCCUGCUCGGGGUUUGUUUCCUGCCUUGCGCCCUGUGUUGGCUGGGAUUGGCUCCACCCUGUAGUUAGGAUAUAGCGGGUUGGAUAAUGGAUGGA